CGUAUUUUAGUCAAAGCUUCUUGUUCCUAAAAGGUCAUCUUAUUUACCAUUCUUUACAGGAAAGUCAAGGGUGGAGAUGUAAAGCAUCCCUUAUUAUUUGCUUGCACUAUGACACCAACUUGUGAGAUCUUUUUGGUUGACAAAGUGUGAAAAGGACAAAGAGAGGAACACACAGAGGUAAGGAAGGUCGUAGUCGCGCUGCCAGAGAAGAUGACCAUGGAGUCAAGAUUAGUGGCAGUGUAACCCCGCUCAACUCAUGCACCUCCAAUCAUCCAUAACAAUCCAAGCUCACCACAAAGAGAUGACCAGAUGACAAAUGCUUCUAAAGGAGUGAAGAAGGCUACCCAUUCCUCAGCAUCCCAUGGUUGGAAGAUGACAAGCUUCAAGUCGUCAAGACUGGGUUUGAUGACAUCAUGAGACAGGAGAACUCAGAACCAAAGGAUACCCUCCAACACAUUUGGAUACCACAACGGACGCUUUAAAUAAACUGUCUCAAGAGAAGCUACAAAUGAGGACAGUAGCUCCAACAACCGCCUAAGCCCUAGACUAUCCCUUUACUGCCAACAGUAGAGUCUGUGGCUAAGAAGUGAUACAGCUACAUAGUAAACAACAUAAACCAUGAUCUAUUUAAGCUGACAGCAAGAAUCUAGGGCUACCUGUUAUAUAUUUAAUAGACUUAUGAAUACUGAACUUAGUGGAGUACGAUCCAGCAAGCAACUUUAGUGUGGUUUUGUGGUAUUUGUGGAAUGUUAUGGCAGUCUAUUUUGUGAUCCUAUACCAGAAAGCCACAUUGAGUUAGUUUAGACAAAGGCAAGAUGGAGUCUCUUACCUGGAAGGGUCUCUUAGGCAUGUUCACAGGGACCUAUAGGUGGUUUUUUGUAACAUUGCCAGCCCACAGGUGGGUUGGAAAAGGUGCGGAGAAAACAUAAUAAAAGGCAU
Long non-coding RNA from Hyla sarda, 939 nucleotides. RefSeq lists it as uncharacterized. The transcript has 3 exons. Lineage: Eukaryota; Metazoa; Chordata; Amphibia; Anura; Hylidae. The record is from RefSeq and is a predicted model, not a curated record.